UAUAUUGUACCACUGUAUCUAAUGGAUGUAAUUAUCCUGGGUUAGCUUUGUUAUUU
Molecule: transfer RNA, 56 nt
Filed under: Bigelowiella sp. RCC560
Lineage: Eukaryota; Cercozoa; Chlorarachniophyceae
Description: partial tRNA
Source: RNAcentral